Molecule: long non-coding RNA, 363 nt
Organism: Dreissena polymorpha
Lineage: Eukaryota; Metazoa; Mollusca; Bivalvia; Myida; Dreissenidae
Exons: 2
Source: RefSeq, a predicted model, not a curated record
GGUGGUGAUCUUGGUGGAUACGGAGGCGGAAGUUACGGUUUAGGGGGUGGUGGCGGUGGUGAUUUUGGCGGUUUGGGCGGUUUCGGUGGAAGUUUUGGACGUACUCAACAAUGCAAAUGUGCGAAGACAUGCAACAAAGGGCAAAAGUUUGUUGGAAGAUGCCCCUGGUGCCAGAAGAAAUGCCAACUAGUGUUUUGUUGUAAUCGAGGGAAAUAUUAGAUACAUGCUACAAGGGCAGGCAUGUCGGCUGGACACAAAGCGAAAUGGAAUUCUACAUCGACAUCGAGACUGAAGUAAAGAUCUGAUUUUUAUUUCACAAUAUUUUAUAUUGCUGACUCUUUCUAAUUAUAUUUUUAGCAUUCA